GCUGUCUUGCUGGGAGAAUUGUUUGGUGUCGGCGUUUGGUGUCUGCUUUCUCGUUGCUGUCCCUCCGAACUCAUCUGCUGUACCCUUUGUGUCGUUUCAGUCAACGCGUCUUUGCUCAACCGUGUGUUUUUGCGACUAGCGACUGCGGUUGUGCCGGUAGCGCGACUCAUCUCUGUAGCCUACGGCCUGGCUGUCUUACUGUGGUGAUCCUAAGUUCCCGAACCUGGAGGUGUGCCGUUUCUCCGCACCCUCGAACGUCACCAUAAAGCGGUCAAUCACUGUUUUCCCCUGGCCACUUUGUAACAGUGCACCCAAAGGUUGUUAUUUUGUUUUGUGGAAAAUUGUAUGUUUUGUUUGGGUUUUCUUUGUGUAGCUCUACUGUAUAGUUGUC
Molecule: long non-coding RNA, 391 nt
Organism: Alosa alosa (allis shad)
Lineage: Eukaryota; Metazoa; Chordata; Actinopteri; Clupeiformes; Clupeidae
Exons: 3
Source: RefSeq, a predicted model, not a curated record